This 249-nucleotide ribosomal RNA is filed under the name uncultured Burkholderiales bacterium. Its description in RNAcentral is "partial 16S ribosomal RNA". It matches the Rfam family "Bacterial small subunit ribosomal RNA", at positions 524 to 772 of the family's 1533-position model. Lineage: Bacteria; Pseudomonadati; Pseudomonadota; Betaproteobacteria; Burkholderiales. The record is from RNAcentral.
UACGUGGGGUGCAAGCGUUAAUCGGAAUUACUGGGCGUAAAGCGUGCGCAGGCGGUUAUGCAAGACAGAGGUGAAAUCCCCGGGCUCAACCUGGGAACUGCCUUUGUGACUGCAUGGCUAGAGUACGGUAGAGGGGGAUGGAAUUCCGCGUGUAGCAGUGAAAUGCCUAGAUAUGCGGAGGAACACCGAUGGCGAAGGCAAUCCCCUGGACCUGUACUGACGCUCAUGCACGAAUACGUGGGGAGCAAA